GGUUACCUUGUUACGACUUCACCCCAGUCGCUGAUCCUACCGUGCCCCGCCUGCCCCCCGAAGGUUAGCGCAGCGUCCUCGGGUAGAACCUACUCCCAUGGUGUGACGGGCGGUGUGUACAAGGCCCGGGAACGUAUUCACCGCGUCAUGCUGUUACGCGAUUACUAGCGAUUCCGACUUCAUGGGGUCGAGUUGCAGACCCCAAUCCCAACUGAGACAGUUU
This 223-nucleotide ribosomal RNA is filed under the name uncultured alpha proteobacterium DCM-FREE-25. RNAcentral's name for it is "partial 16S ribosomal RNA". The record is from RNAcentral. Lineage: Bacteria; Pseudomonadati; Pseudomonadota; Alphaproteobacteria.